This 440-nucleotide ribosomal RNA is filed under the name uncultured bacterium. RNAcentral's name for it is "partial 16S ribosomal RNA". It matches the Rfam family "Bacterial small subunit ribosomal RNA", at positions 338 to 795 of the family's 1533-position model. The record is from RNAcentral.
CCUACGGGUGGCAGCAGUGGGGAAUAUUGCACAAUGGGGGAAACCCUGAUGCAGCGACGUCGCGUGAGUGAAGAAGUAUCUCGGUACGUAAAGCUCCAUUAGCAGGGAAGUAAAUUACGGCACCUGACCAUGAAGCUCUGGCCAACUACGUGCCAGCAGCCGCGGUAAUACGUAGGAGGCCAGCGUUAUCCGGAUUUACUGGGUGUAAAGGGAGCGUAGACGGCAGCGCAAGUCUGAAGUGAAAUCCCAUGGCUUAACCAUAGAACUGCUUUGGAAACUGUGCAGCUGGAGUGCAGGAGAGGUAGGCGGAAUUCGUGGUGUAGCGGUGAAAUGCGUAGAUAUUAGGAAGAACACCAGUGGCGAAGGCAGCUUACUAGACUGUAACUGACAUUGAGGCUCGAAAGCGUGGGGAGCAAACAGGAUUAGAUACCCGGGUAGUC